GAUGAACGCUGGCGGCGUGGAUUAGGCAUGCAAGUCGAACGCGAAAGUUCCCUUCGGGGAGCGAGUAGAGUGGCGAAAGGGUGAGUAAUGCUUGGAUGACCUGCCCUCGAGACGGGGACAACAGUUCGAAAGGACUGCUAAUACCCGAUAGUCCGGUUUAGAUGCGUCUAGAUCGGUAAAUGGUGCUUCCGCUCGAGGAGGGGUUCAAGUCCUAUCAGCUUGUUGGUGAGGUAACGGCUCACCAAGGCGAUGACGGGUAGCCGGACUGAGAGGUUGGCCGGCCACAUGGGAACUGAGACACUGUCCUGACUCCUACGGGAGGACCUGGCAGUCGAGAAUCUUCUGCAAUGGGCGAAAGCCUGACAGAGCGACGCCGCGUGGAGGAUGAAGGCCCUCGGGUCGUAAAC
RNAcentral lists this ribosomal RNA (407 nucleotides) under uncultured bacterium. Its description in RNAcentral is "bacterial SSU rRNA". It matches the Rfam family "Bacterial small subunit ribosomal RNA", at positions 28 to 430 of the family's 1533-position model. The record is from RNAcentral.